Molecule: ribosomal RNA, 554 nt
Filed under: uncultured bacterium
Lineage: Bacteria
Description: partial 16S ribosomal RNA
Rfam family: Bacterial small subunit ribosomal RNA
Source: RNAcentral
UAGGGAGUCUUCCACAAUGGACGCAAGUCUGAUGGAGCAACGCCGCGUGAGUGAAGAAGGUCUUCGGAUCGUAAAGCUCUGUUGUUGGUGAAGAAGGAUAGAGGCAGUAACUGGUCUUUAUUUGACGGUAAUCAACCAGAAAGUCACGGCUAACUACGUGCCAGCAGCCGCGGUAAUACGUAGGUGGCAAGCGUUGUCCGGAUUUAUUGGGCGUAAAGCGAGCGCAGGCGGAAUGAUAAGUCUGAUGUGAAAGCCCACGGCUCAACCGUGGAACUGCAUCGGAAACUGUCAUUCUUGAGUGCAGAAGAGGAGAGUGGAACUCCAUGUGUAGCGGUGGAAUGCGUAGAUAUAUGGAAGAACACCAGUGGCGAAGGCGGCUCUCUGGUCUGCAACUGACGCUGAGGCUCGAAAGCAUGGGUAGCGAACAGGAUUAGAUACCCUGGUAGUCCAUGCCGUAAACGAUGAGCGCUAGGUGUUGGGGACUUUCCGGUCCUCAGUGCCGCAGCAAACGCAUUAAGCGCUCCGCCUGGGGAGUACGACCGCAAGGUUGAAAC